Molecule: ribosomal RNA, 429 nt
Filed under: Actinomycetes bacterium
Lineage: Bacteria; Bacillati; Actinomycetota; Actinomycetes
Description: Actinobacteria bacterium partial 16S ribosomal RNA
Rfam family: Bacterial small subunit ribosomal RNA
Source: RNAcentral
UAGGGAAUCUUCCGCAAUGGGCGAAAGCCUGCCGGAGCAACGCCGCGUGAGUGAUGAAGGUCUUCGGAUCGUAAAACUCUGUUAUUAGGGAAGAACAAAUGUGUAAGUAACUAUGCACGUCUUGACGGUACCUAAUCAGAAAGCCACGGCUAACUACGUGCCAGCAGCCGCGGUAAUACGUAGGUGGCAAGCGUUAUCCGGAAGUAUUGGGCGUAAAGCGCGCGUAGGCGGUUUUUUAAGUCUGAUGUGAAAGCCCACGGCUCAACCGUGGAGGGUCAUUGGAAACUGGAAAACUUGAGUGCAGAAGAGGAAAGUGGAAUUCCAUGUGUAGCGGUGAAAUGCACAGAGAUAUGGAGGAACACCAGUGGCGAACGCGACUUUCUGGUCUGUAACAGACGCUGAUAUGCGAAAGCGUGGGGCUCAAACAGG